RNAcentral lists this long non-coding RNA (1042 nucleotides) under Ficedula albicollis (Collared flycatcher). Its description in RNAcentral is "lncRNA (ENSFALG00000026354.1)". The record is from RNAcentral. Lineage: Eukaryota; Metazoa; Chordata; Aves; Passeriformes; Muscicapidae.
GCAUUUGUGUGAAGGGCUUUACCGCAAAAGUGGAAGGUUUUCUGUGACAGAGUAUAACAGAACUGUGUAGGUUCAGGAUAUGUCAGUAUAUGAUAAUAUUCUUGCUAAGCAAACCAUACCCUUGGUCACGUGUUUACAUGGUUUUUCUGCAUGUGAAAUCAGUUUUCUUUGUCUGCUCUAACCAUUUGUUUUCUCUGAGCCUGGAGGUAUUGAUAAUUGGGCAGUGUGCAAAGCUCAAUACCAUAGGAAGAUAGGGAUGGAUUGGGAAAUGAGUGUCUAAGUAGCAGCUCUCUGAGAGAUUGCUGGGUUUGCUGCUCUCCUGUCUGUCCUCUUGUGUGUGUUUAAGGUAGAGUUGACCCGUUAGAUGAAUUUUAUUGGCACCCAUUAGUUUUAAAGUGCUUUGAAAGUGGGUCUAGAAGAUUUGAGCUCUUUGAGACAAAACUGAGGUAGUGUCUUUUGAGAUCUGCUGGUGGGAUGAUGUUACUUCCAGUUGGAUAAAAAUGGUAGUCCCUAUCUGCACAAUUUAUUUUGUGGUUCCUUUUGCUGUUGCAUGGUCCUUUUAGCAUCAUGUAAUGUCCAGCCGAGUCAGUUAUGUAAUACGUUUCAAAAUUUGGUGCCCUAUUAAGCAAAAUUCCUUAUUUUUGUUGUAGUUUUGUAAUUCAAAGCAUUUCCAGUUUUGCAUACGUUUUUCCUGGACAAAAAGCAGUUUUGUUUUGGUUUUUUUUUUUUUAAGAUGAUGACGAUGACUACCCCCCCCUAGACAAGAGACAGAAGAGCACGAAGUCGGCUAAUGAAGCUGCCAGUACUCAAAGAAGAGAAGGAAAAGAAUUCAGUUCUGAUUCUUCCCAGCACGACUCGUCAGAAUCAAGUUCGGAUUCUGAGCCCGAAAUCACUACUGAAGAUGAUGAUGAUGAUGAGUACGUGCCUCCUAGCAGGAGACCGAGGAGCAGGCGGUCUAAUCGCGCUUCCAACACUGGGAGAAGGAAAGGAAAACACUCUAGUUCCGAUUCCUCCCAGCAUGAGUUGUCAGAACCAGGUGUGA